Molecule: ribosomal RNA, 373 nt
Filed under: uncultured bacterium
Lineage: Bacteria
Description: bacterial SSU rRNA
Rfam family: Bacterial small subunit ribosomal RNA
Source: RNAcentral
GUAGGGUGCGAGCGUUGUCCGGAAUUAUUGGGCGUAAAGAGCUCGUAGGUGGUUUGUCGCGUCGGUCGUGAAAUCCCGCAGCUUAACUGCGGGUCUGCGGCCGGUACGGGCAGACUGGAGUGCAGUAGGGGAGACUGGAAUUCCUGGUGUAGCGGUGAAAUGCGCAGAUAUCAGGGGGAACACCGGUGGCGAAGGCGGGUCUCUGGGCUGUUACUGACACUGAGGAGCGAAAGCGUGGGGAGCGAACAGGAUUAGAUACCCUGGUAGUCCACGCUGUAAACGUUGGGCGCUAGGUGUGGGGGACUUCAUUGUUUUCUGUGCCGUAGCUAACGCUUUAAGCGCCCCGCCUGGGGAGUACGGCCGCAAGGCUAAA